Molecule: long non-coding RNA, 498 nt
Organism: Rosa rugosa (rugosa rose)
Lineage: Eukaryota; Viridiplantae; Streptophyta; Magnoliopsida; Rosales; Rosaceae
Exons: 3
Source: RefSeq, a predicted model, not a curated record
UGUGACUGGUGGAAACAAUGGGUUAUUUUAUGACCCGGAGUGGAUACGACAAUUCCUCAGCACAAAGUCCCUACAAGUAGCUAGCUACUCUUAUAAAUACCAGAGUUUGUUACAAGGUUCAGUACCAAUCCAUUAAUCAAUUAUACAGAACACGCCUCUUCCUAAUCCUCCCCUACCAUCAAUCUCCCAAAGCCAGAAGCGCCAUCUUCAUUUUCCAUCAUCAAUUCUUCUUCAUUAUCAUCAUGAAGCAAAAGAUGGUGAUCAGCCUCUCUGUGCACGACGAGAGGUCUCGAUCCAAGGCAAUGAGGACAGCAGUUGGAGUUUGUGGGGUGGAUUCAGCAAGUCUGCUAUUGGACAAGGACCAAAUUGAAGUAACAGGAAAUGAUGUUGAUGUGGUUUUGCUCACAACACGACUCGCUCAGAAAAAGAGUCAAGUGCGCUAAUCCUAUGGUCGUCAGUGUGAGCCCUGUCAAAGAGGAGGGGAAGAAGAAGGAGGAG